This 301-nucleotide ribosomal RNA is filed under the name uncultured bacterium. RNAcentral's name for it is "partial 16S ribosomal RNA". It matches the Rfam family "Bacterial small subunit ribosomal RNA", at positions 509 to 807 of the family's 1533-position model. The record is from RNAcentral.
CAGCCGCCACGGGAAAACGAAGGGGGCUAGCGUUGUUCGGAAUUACUGGGCGUAAAGCGCACGUAGGCGGAUAUUUAAGUCAGGGGUGAAAUCCCAGAGCUCAACUCUGGAACUGCCUUUGAUACUGGGUAUCUUGAGUAUGGAAGAGGUUAGUGGAAUUGCGAGUGUAGAGGUGAAAUUCGUAGAUAUUCGCAGGAACACCAGUGGCGAAGGCGGCUAACUGGUCCAUAACUGACGCUGAGGUGCGAAAGCGUGGGGAGCAAACAGGAUUAGAUACCCCCGUAGUCCCUGUCUCUUAUAC